Clupea harengus (Atlantic herring) is the source of this 1216-nucleotide long non-coding RNA. NCBI's taxonomy places the organism in Eukaryota, Metazoa, Chordata, Actinopteri, Clupeiformes, Clupeidae. The record is from Ensembl.
GCUGAAUAAACUUGUGUCAGGCUGGUGGCUGCAGUCCUGAACUUAUUUGUGUAGUUCCCCUCUCUGGCACAGGAAGAGGCUGAGGACGUGUUAUUUCAAUAUUCUGUCCAUGAUGUCACCCGUGUGUGUGUGAGUCAUAUCCCGUCUGCACGCGCCCCCGAGUAGCAGUCAGAGAGUUAAUCUGUCGUCCCACAUUGAUUUUUCAGUUACCUAAUCUAGAAACACACCUGUAUCAAAUGGCAAUAGGAUGCAAUCUGCGCUGUUCAAGCCCAAUUAGGCCAGUGUUGGCCUGAGCUGGUAUUUGGCUUGGCUAAUCUGGUCACACAAACCGGCAAUCAGGCCUCCAGGGAAAACCGAUGACAAAUAGGUGUAAUGACAUGGGCAAAUAUGCAUGGCUAUAAACAUUUGUGUCAAUGACAGAUGGAGUCUUGCUUAAAUAAAGCCAUGUGUCAGGGGUUCCUCCAUCACUCUGGGCUGACAACUCUUGUAACUGCACCUGUCUGUACCUGUCCACAGUUUGACACCAUGGCCAUGAUUGUCAGCUUAUUGCACAUUGUCCUGGUGACAGCAGUUGUCCUCCAGGUGGCAGUCUCGCACCCACAUCUGAACCGAAUGGAAGAAGAGGUGGAUAUUGAUAGAAGAAUCAGCCAGCCAGAUAACAGUCUGCUGAUGGAGGACGCAAUAAACACCCUCUCUGAGAGGAGGCAAGGGCUUCCCCAGAGCUCACCUUUCCACGGCAGCCAGCAGAGUGACAUCGAGUUCUCCAACCGCUACGUCAGGCAGCUGGGCGACAUCGAGUUCUCCAACCGCUACGCAGAGUACCUGAGGUCAAAGGCCAAGAUCACCUCCAUCUGCGGCUUCCUGCGCCGCAUGCAGAACUCCAAGAAAAGUGGUUUGGGUGGAGACACAGAGAGAGUGAACGCCCUGCUGAAGCAGUACAUGUGCCCUGCUGUGUACCAGUGACCAGUGGCCAGAAACCAGAGGCCUGCUGGGAUACUGGAGGAACAGCUAGAGGGAGGAGCUCAGCUCAGGACGCCUCAGAUCACACUGCCAUCCCACACCAAGACAGAUACCCUUAAAGGGCAGCCAGGCCCUCAGCAGGAAGUUGUGUCGUGCCUUCACUCAACAUGUUUCAUAUCUGUCCCAUUUUCCUGUUCGACUGUCUAUACCCUGUGUUAAAAGCCCCUGUUUUUUACUUGAAUAAAGUUGAUCUCAU